CCCUUUCUCGCCAUGCCACAGCUAUAGUGGCCAAUGAAACAGACAAGGUAAGGCACUUUGAGUGGGGACUCAACUCGGGACUCUGAGACAAGCUGGUCGCAGUGCAGCUACCUACUUAUGCACAGGUAGUAGAUAGGGCUCUUGCUCUAGAAAGAGAGAAAAUGGACACUGCAAGGACUCAAGGUCAGCAGUCUAGAGCUAACCAGCAAAGAAGCAGGGGACCCUCAAGGAACAAUAGGACCCCUACUGCUUUGAUACCUUAUGCUAAGAGGCCACAACAACAGCAAGUGUAUAAUCCUGAACAGCGUAGUAGGGAAGGGGCUAGGAGGUGUUAUGAAUGUGGCCAAGAAAGGCACCUUAGGAACAACAAUCCUCAAAGGUCAGGCUACUACAUUUAUCAAGGAGGGGCCACUCAACGGAACAAAUGUGUGCCAACUCAAGGAGCGCAAGCUGUGCAAAAUUCCCAAUCCAGUAGAGGUCAGCCGCCAGCUAAUCGGAAUAUGGGACAACCGAGGGCUCAACAACCAGGAGAUGCCAAUACAAGGAAACCUUAGGGGCAAAAUCAAGGUGCCACUAGAAGAGUCUUUGCACUCCAAGAAGGAGAAGAUACUGGAAAUCCUUCAGUGAUUCAAGGUAUACUUAUCCUUAUGAACUCUUAUGUACAAGUCUUGUUUGAUUCUGGAGCAUCACACUCUUUUAUAUCUGCUUCGUGUGUUAUAACUUUGGGACUAGAGCCUGAACGGCUAGAAACACCUAUGAGUGUAGCCUCACCACUAGGAGGUCAAACUCGAGUAGAUCUCAUAUGCAAAUCAUGUGAACUAGGAGUCUCCAGUUUGCAUUUUACUUGCGACCUACGAGUCAUGGAAAUGUCAGACUUUGACGUUAUCUUAGAAAUGGACUGGUUACCAGCCCAUAGAGCCACCAUUGAUUGCUAUCGAAAGACGGUGACUGCUUACUCUCAGGACUGAAUGCGAUUCCAAUAUAAGGGGGAUAGACAAGAUUCCCUAUCACCGACUCUUCGAAAAUCAAAGUGGCACGAUCACCUAGCUGGAUGGUUAGCCAACUUAGUUUUGGAAGACAGAGAUCAUAUGGAACUAGGGCUACCUCGUGUGGUACGCGAGUAUAUUGAUGCAUUUCCGGAGGAAUUACCAGGACUAAUCCCAAAGCGAAAAGUAGACUUUACCAUCGAACUACAACCUGGCACAUCACCAAUCUCAAUGGCACCACAUCGUAUGGCACCAGCUGAACUGAGAGAGCUAAAGACACAGUUGCGAGAAUUGUUGGACAAGGAAUUUAUAAGGCCAAGCACGUCCCCAUAGGGAGCACCAGCCUUAUUCGCUAAGAAGAAAGAUGGGACACUUAGGUUGUGCAUUGAUUACCGCCAACUCAAUAGAGUCACCAUUAAGAAUUGGUAUCCACUACCUAGGAUUGACAACCUCUUUGAUCAGCUCAGAGGGGCAAAGUGUUUCUCAAAGAUAGGCCUCAGAUCUGGGUAUCACCAGUUGCGUAUUCGGGAAGAAGAUAUUCCUAAGACUGCAUUUCGAACCCGUUACGGCCACUAUGAGUUUGUAGUGAUGCCAUUCGGCUUAACCAAUGCACCAAGUGUGUUCAUGAGUUUAAUGAACAAAAUAUGCACGCCUUACUUAGAUCAAUUUGUGAAAGUUUUCAUUGAUGAUAUUUUGGUGUAUUCCAAGUCUGAAGGAGACCAUGAACAACAUUUGAGAAGAGUACUUCAAACCUUGAGGGAGAACCAACUGUAUGCUAAAGCUAGUAAAUGUGAAUUCUAGAUGGAUGAAGUAAAAUUUUUGGGUCACGUGGUGUCUGCAAAGGGAGUAUCGGUGGACCCAACUAAAGUAGAGGCAGUGACAGAAUGAAAGCAACCUAAGAACACAUUCGAGAUUCGUAGUUUCUUAAGGUUGGCCGAUUACUAUCGAAGAUUCCUUUAGAACUUCUCAAGGUUGGCUAAACCAAUGACACGCUUGACUCAAAAAGAAGUUAAGUUUGAAUGGAACGAGUCUUGUAAAAAUUCAUUCCAAGAACUUAAGAAAAGAUUGACGAGUGCCCCUAUUCUCAUAGUACUAGAGCGUGACGUUGGGUACAAUGUGUAUUGUGAUGCUUCCAAAGAAGGUUUGGGGUGCGUGUUGAUGCAAAAUGACAAGGUGGUGGCAUAUGGAUAAAGGCAAUUAAAGAACCAUGAGAAGAAUUAUCUCACUCAUGACUUGGAGUUAGCAGCCAUAGUUCAUGCACUCAAAAUUUGGAAACACUACCUAUAUGGUGAAAAGUUUGAGAUAUUCACUGACCACAAAAGCUUGAAGUAUCUGUUCACCCAAAAGGACUCGAACAUGCGUCAGAGACGUUGGAUGGAGUACCUUGAGGAUUACCAAUUUACCCUUUCUUAUCAUCCCAGCAAGACUAAUGUUGUAGCAGAUGCAUUAAGCCGCAAAAAUAGAGGGACUGUUGCUAGCUUAGCCCUUAGAGAAUGGAAUAUGAUUGGAACGCUCAAUGAAUUUGGGGUACAGAUGGAGGUUCAAGAUGAAAAGGCUUACCUUGGUGCUCAAAUUGCUACGCCUAAAAUUUUGAGCGAGAUAUUAGAAUCACAGCAAUACGAUCAGGAGGUGGCAUUCAUCAAGGCACGAAUGGAAUCUAGUGAAACCAUGCUUGGUCGAGUGUUCGUGCUGAGUGACGACUCACUAAGAGAAAAGGUACUUAAGGAAUUUCACCAUUCAGUAUUCGCAGUACAUCCAGGAGGUACUAAGAUGUACCAAGACUUAAAACACCAAUAUUGGUGGGGCGGAAUGAAAAAGGAUGUAGCCAAGUUUGUGUCUAAGUGCUUGACAUGUCAACAAGUAAAGGCUUAAUACCAAAGACCAGCAGGAACAUUUCAACCUUUACCAAUCCAGGAGUGGAAAUGGGAACACAUAACCAUGGAUUUUGUGACGGCUUUGCCUCGAUCACCACAGAGACAUGACGGCGUAUGGGUAGUGGUAGAUCGACUAACUAAGAUUUCCCGAUUCUUACCAGUCGGGUCAUCAGAUACGUUAGACUCACUCAGUAGAUUGUUCAUCAAAGAAGUGAUCAGAUUACACGGAGUACCAGUUAGCAUCGUGUCUGAUCGUGAUCCUCGAUUCACUUUCCAAUUUUGGCAGAGCUUGCAGAAGGCAAUGGGAACGAACUUAUGUUUUAGCACGGCAUUUCACCCACAAACAGAUGGACAAUCUGAAAGGACGAUACAAACCUUGGAGGAUAUGCUUCGAGCUUGCGUUAUGGAUUUUGAUAGAAGUUCGGAGAAACACUUACCUCUCGUUGAGUUCGCUUACAACAAUAGUUUCCAGGCCAAUAUUAGAAUGGCACCGUAUGAAACACUUUAUGGGCGACCUUGUCGAUCACCAAUCUGUUGGACAGAAGUAGGGAAGAAAGCAACCUUGCUAGGACCAGACCUAGUUCAGGAGACCACUGACAAUGACUAAUCACAGCCCAAAGUCAACAAAAGAGUUAUGUGGAUCAAAGGAGACGGCCUUUAACUUUUGAGGUAGGCGAUCAUGUUUUUCUGAAAGUUCGACCUUGACGAGGUACUACGCGAUUCGGAAAGAAAG
Camellia sinensis is the source of this 3593-nucleotide non-coding RNA. NCBI's taxonomy places the organism in Eukaryota, Viridiplantae, Streptophyta, Magnoliopsida, Ericales, Theaceae. The record is from RefSeq and is a predicted model, not a curated record.